CUUAACACAUGCAAGUCGAGGGGCAGCGCGGGGCGGCAACGUCCUGGCGGCGACCGGCGGAAGGGUGCGUAACGCGUGAGCGACAUGCCCGUUGCCCGGGGACAACCGGUGGAAACGCCGACUAAUCCCCGAUGGGACGGAGGCCCUCAUGGGCCUCUGUUGAAAGUUACGGCGGCGACGGAUUGGCUCGCGUCCGAUUAGCUUGUUGGCGGGGUAACGGCCCACCAAGGCUACGAUCGGUAGGGGUUCUGAGAGGAAGGUCCCCCACAAUGGAACUGAGACACGGUCCAUACUCC
RNAcentral lists this ribosomal RNA (296 nucleotides) under uncultured bacterium. RNAcentral describes it as "partial 16S ribosomal RNA". It matches the Rfam family "Bacterial small subunit ribosomal RNA", at positions 47 to 339 of the family's 1533-position model. The record is from RNAcentral.